GAGUUUGAUCCUGGCUCAGGACGAACGCUGGCGGCGUGCUUAACACAUGCAAGUCGAACGGAGCACCCCUGAAAGAGUUUUCGGACAAUGGAAGGGAAUGCUUAGUGGCGGACUGGUGAGUAACGCGUGAGGAACCUGCCUUCCAGAGGGGGACAACAGUUGGAAACGACUGCUAAUACCGCAUGAUGUGUUUCGAUGGCAUCAUCGAGACACCAAAGAUUUAUCGCUGGAAGAUGGCCUCGCGUCUGAUUAGCUAGUAGGCGGGGUAACGGCCCACCUAGGCGACGAUCAGUAGCCGGACUGAGAGGUUGACCGGCCACAUUGGGACUGAGAUACGGCCCAGACUCUUACGGGAGGCAGCAGUGGGGAAUAUUGGGCAAUGGGCGCAAGCCUGACCCAGCAACGCCGCGUGAAGGAAGAAGGCU
Molecule: ribosomal RNA, 425 nt
Filed under: uncultured bacterium
Lineage: Bacteria
Description: bacterial SSU rRNA
Rfam family: Bacterial small subunit ribosomal RNA
Source: RNAcentral